RNAcentral lists this ribosomal RNA (2921 nucleotides) under Staphylococcus aureus M0240. RNAcentral describes it as "bacterial LSU rRNA". It matches the Rfam family "Bacterial large subunit ribosomal RNA". The record is from RNAcentral. Lineage: Bacteria; Bacillati; Bacillota; Bacilli; Caryophanales; Staphylococcaceae.
UUAAGUUAUUAAGGGCGCACGGUGGAUGCCUUGGCACUAGAAGCCGAUGAAGGACGUUACUAACGACGAUAUGCUUUGGGGAGCUGUAAGUAAGCUUUGAUCCAGAGAUUUCCGAAUGGGGAAACCCAGCAUGAGUUAUGUCAUGUUAUCGAUAUGUGAAUACAUAGCAUAUCAGAAGGCACACCCGGAGAACUGAAACAUCUUAGUACCCGGAGGAAGAGAAAGAAAAUUCGAUUCCCUUAGUAGCGGCGAGCGAAACGGGAAGAGCCCAAACCAACAAGCUUGCUUGUUGGGGUUGUAGGACACUCUAUACGGAGUUACAAAGGACGACAUUAGACGAAUCAUCUGGAAAGAUGAAUCAAAGAAGGUAAUAAUCCUGUAGUCGAAAAUGUUGUCUCUCUUGAGUGGAUCCUGAGUACGACGGAGCACGUGAAAUUCCGUCGGAAUCUGGGAGGACCAUCUCCUAAGGCUAAAUACUCUCUAGUGACCGAUAGUGAACCAGUACCGUGAGGGAAAGGUGAAAAGCACCCCGGAAGGAGAGUGAAAUAGAACCUGAAACCGUGUGCUUACAAGUAGUCAGAGCCCGUUAAUGGGUGAUGGCGUGCCUUUUGUAGAAUGAACCGGCGAGUUACGAUUUGAUGCAAGGUUAAGCAGUAAAUGUGGAGCCGUAGCGAAAGCGAGUCUGAAUAGGGCGUUUAGUAUUUGGUCGUAGACCCGAAACCAGGUGAUCUACCCUUGGUCAGGUUGAAGUUCAGGUAACACUGAAUGGAGGACCGAACCGACUUACGUUGAAAAGUGAGCGGAUGAACUGAGGGUAGCGGAGAAAUUCCAAUCGAACCUGGAGAUAGCUGGUUCUCUCCGAAAUAGCUUUAGGGCUAGCCUCAAGUGAUGAUUAUUGGAGGUAGAGCACUGUUUGGACGAGGGGCCCCUCUCGGGUUACCGAAUUCAGACAAACUCCGAAUGCCAAUUAAUUUAACUUGGGAGUCAGAACAUGGGUGAUAAGGUCCGUGUUCGAAAGGGAAACAGCCCAGACCACCAGCUAAGGUCCCAAAAUAUAUGUUAAGUGGAAAAGGAUGUGGCGUUGCCCAGACAACUAGGAUGUUGGCUUAGAAGCAGCCAUCAUUUAAAGAGUGCGUAAUAGCUCACUAGUCGAGUGACACUGCGCCGAAAAUGUACCGGGGCUAAACAUAUUACCGAAGCUGUGGAUUGUCCUUUGGACAAUGGUAGGAGAGCGUUCUAAGGGCGUUGAAGCAUGAUCGUAAGGACAUGUGGAGCGCUUAGAAGUGAGAAUGCCGGUGUGAGUAGCGAAAGACGGGUGAGAAUCCCGUCCACCGAUUGACUAAGGUUUCCAGAGGAAGGCUCGUCCGCUCUGGGUUAGUCGGGUCCUAAGCUGAGGCCGACAGGCGUAGGCGAUGGAUAACAGGUUGAUAUUCCUGUACCACCUAUAAUCGUUUUAAUCGAUGGGGGGACGCAGUAGGAUAAGCGAAGCGUGCGAUUGGAUUGCACGUCUAAGCAGUAAGGCUGAGUAUUAGGCAAAUCCGGUACUCGUUAAGGCUGAGCUGUGAUGGGGAGAAGACAUUGAGUCUUCGAGUCGUUGAUUUCACACUGCCGAGAAAAGCCUCUAGAUAGAAAAUAGGUGCCCGUACCGCAAACCGACACAGGUAGUCAAGAUGAGAAUUCUAAGGUGAGCGAGCGAACUCUCGUUAAGGAACUCGGCAAAAUGACCCCGUAACUUCGGGAGAAGGGGUGCUCUUUAGGGUUAACGCCCAGAAGAGCCGCAGUGAAUAGGCCCAAGCGACUGUUUAUCAAAAACACAGGUCUCUGCUAAACCGUAAGGUGAUGUAUAGGGGCUGACGCCUGCCCGGUGCUGGAAGGUUAAGAGGAGUGGUUAGCUUCUGCGAAGCUACGAAUCGAAGCCCCAGUAAACGGCGGCCGUAACUAUAACGGUCCUAAGGUAGCGAAAUUCCUUGUCGGGUAAGUUCCGACCCGCACGAAAGGCGUAACGAUUUGGGCACUGUCUCAACGAGAGACUCGGUGAAAUCAUAGUACCUGUGAAGAUGCAGGUUACCCGCGACAGGACGGAAAGACCCCGUGGAGCUUUACUGUAGCCUGAUAUUGAAAUUCGGCACAGCUUGUACAGGAUAGGUAGGAGCCUUUGAAACGUGAGCGCUAGCUUACGUGGAGGCGCUGGUGGGAUACUACCCUAGCUGUGUUGGCUUUCUAACCCGCACCACUUAUCGUGGUGGGAGACAGUGUCAAGCGGGCAGUUUGACUGGGGCGGUCGCCUCCUAAAAGGUAACGGAGGCGCUCAAAGGUUCCCUCAGAAUGGUUGGAAAUCAUUCAUAGAGUGUAAAGGCAUAAGGGAGCUUGACUGCGAGACCUACAAGUCGAGCAGGGUCGAAAGACGGACUUAGUGAUCCGGUGGUUCCGCAUGGAAGGGCCAUCGCUCAACGGAUAAAAGCUACCCCGGGGAUAACAGGCUUAUCUCCCCCAAGAGUUCACAUCGACGGGGAGGUUUGGCACCUCGAUGUCGGCUCAUCGCAUCCUGGGGCUGUAGUCGGUCCCAAGGGUUGGGCUGUUCGCCCAUUAAAGCGGUACGCGAGCUGGGUUCAGAACGUCGUGAGACAGUUCGGUCCCUAUCCGUCGUGGGCGUAGGAAAUUUGAGAGGAGCUGUCCUUAGUACGAGAGGACCGGGAUGGACAUACCUCUGGUGUACCAGUUGUCGUGCCAACGGCAUAGCUGGGUAGCUAUGUGUGGACGGGAUAAGUGCUGAAAGCAUCUAAGCAUGAAGCCCCCCUCAAGAUGAGAUUUCCCAACUUCGGUUAUAAGAUCCCUCAAAGAUGAUGAGGUUAAUAGGUUCGAGGUGGAAGCAUGGUGACAUGUGGAGCUGACGAAUACUAAUCGAUCGAAGACUUAAUCAA